Molecule: long non-coding RNA, 363 nt
Organism: Trachemys scripta elegans
Lineage: Eukaryota; Metazoa; Chordata; Testudines; Emydidae
Exons: 4
Source: RefSeq, a predicted model, not a curated record
AGGGGAGGGGCCCUGACCAACAGGAAUGAUGCUACCUGCCGAGGCCAGAGGUUUUAAGUAGAGACAGAACAUCUCCUCAACUGCAUACUGGCUGCAGUCUUUGGAUCUCAUCCGUUGCUGUUGCUUUUACUUCCCACAAGUUGCUAACCAUGCUGAAGAAGUUCCUGUUCACCUCGACCUUGUUAGCUUUGGUGCUGGCUUUCCCAAGAGAAAUACCAGAUAUGGUCACUUCUUACAGUGAUGACACAACAGCGAGUCCUACUGUGUCCCCAGAUUUCACCACUUCCUACAUAGUGGAAACAACAUCACAGACAAAUGAUUUCGCCAGAUUUUCUACUGAAGAGGCAACAGCAGAAACAGUUG